Molecule: ribosomal RNA, 460 nt
Filed under: uncultured bacterium
Lineage: Bacteria
Description: partial 16S ribosomal RNA
Rfam family: Bacterial small subunit ribosomal RNA
Source: RNAcentral
CCUACGGGUGGCAGCAGUGAGGAAUAUUGGUCAAUGGACGGAAGUCUGAACCAGCCAUGCCGCGUGCAGGAUGACGGCUCUAUGAGUUGUAAACUGCUUUUGUACAAGGAUAAACCUGGAUACGUGUAUUCUUCUGAAUGUACUGUACGAAUAAGGAUCGGCUAACUCCGUGCCAGCAGCCGCGGUAAUACGGAGGAUCCAAGCGUUAUCCGGAUUUAUUGGGUUUAAAGGGUGCGUAGGCGGAUUGAUAAGUUAGAUGUGAAAUGUGCGGGCUUAACUGGGGAACUGCAUCUAAUACUGUCAGUCUAGAGAGUAGAUGAGGUAGGCGGAAUGUAUGGUGUAGCGGUGAAAUGCUUAGAGAUCAUACAGAACACCGAUUGCGAAGGCAGCUUACCAAGCUAUAUCUGACGUUGAGGCACGAAAGCGUGGGGAGCAAACAGGAUUAGAUACCCGUGUAGUC